This 259-nucleotide ribosomal RNA is filed under the name Providencia rettgeri. RNAcentral's name for it is "partial 23S ribosomal RNA". It matches the Rfam family "Bacterial large subunit ribosomal RNA", at positions 2693 to 2925 of the family's 2925-position model. The record is from RNAcentral. Lineage: Bacteria; Pseudomonadati; Pseudomonadota; Gammaproteobacteria; Enterobacterales; Morganellaceae.
CGGAGUGGACGCACCACUGGUGUUCGGGUUGUCAUGCCAAUGGCAUUGCCCGGUAGCUAAGUGCGGAAGAGAUAACCGCUGAAAGCAUCUAAGCGGGAAACUUGCCUUGAGAUGAGUCUUCCCUGACCCUUUAAGGGUCCUAAAGGAACGUUUAAGACUAAGACGUUGAUAGGUUGGGUGUGUAAGCGUAGCGAUACGUUGAGCUAACCAAUACUAAUGAACCGUGAGGCUUAACCUGACAACACCGAAGGUGUUUUAG